RNAcentral lists this long non-coding RNA (5314 nucleotides) under Sus scrofa (pig). RNAcentral describes it as "lncRNA (ENSSSCG00055013329.1)". The record is from RNAcentral. Lineage: Eukaryota; Metazoa; Chordata; Mammalia; Artiodactyla; Suidae.
CCAUUUCUUGGGCCACUCUCGCGGCAUAUGGAGGUUCCUAGGCUAGGGGUGGAAUCAGAGCUGUAGCCACUGGCCUAUGCCAGAGCCACAGCAACGCGGGAUCUGAGCCGCAUCUGCAAUCUACACCACAGCUCAUGGCAACGCUGGAUCCUUAACCCACUGAGCAAGGGCAGGGAUCAAACCGGCAACCUCACGGUUCCUAGUCAGAUUUGUUAACUACUGAGCCAUGACGGGAACUCCUCUCAUGGGGUAUGCUGUGUGAUUGGUUAGGGCAGCAUAUUUAGCUGGUUGAUACUGAUUUGGAAAUGGGGGCAAAACAUUAGAAAGCUAGUCUGAUAUUCUGGGCCAAUUGCUGAAGAGGUUGCGUUUUGGCUUCUUGGGUUGGUUGGAAGGGUUGUGGGUAAGAAUUGAAUCUUCGUAUAGGUCUGGCCAUUGUCUCACUACCCAUAAAGCAAGGAUAUUAUUGAAUCUAGAGGACAAGUUGCCACGUCUGCUUCAGCUUUCCUUCCUUCCUUUCUUCCUUCCUUCCUUCCUUCCUUCCUUCCUUCCUUCCUUUCUUUCUUUCUUUCUUUCUUUCUUUCUUUUCUUUCUGCACCUGCUGCAUAUGGAGUUUCCCAGGCUAGGGGUCGAAUUGGAGCUGCAGUUGCCAGCCUUCACCACAGCCAUACCAACAUGGGAUCCUAGAUGAGUCUGUGACCUAUAUCACAGCUCACAGCAAUGCGGAAUCAUUAACCCACUGAGUGAGGCCAGGGAUUGAACCUGAGUCCUCACAGAUACCAGUGGGUUCGUUACCAUUGUGCCACAAUGGGAACUCCCUGCUUUCACUUGCUUCUGAAGUUACUCAGCCUCAGUCUCCACUGUGGGUGGUAUUGCUGCAACCUUAGCAAUUCUGAGAGGUCAAAUGUCUAAUAUUCUCUUUUUUCAACUAAAGGUCUCAGCAAGAUGCCAACUGCAGCACAUGAAGUAAUGGAUAGAGGACCUCACCUUUUAACUGCCUGGUUACCAUGGACCAAUGACAUUCUUGGUGGCAUCUGCACCCUUUCCAAAAUAUGCGAAUCUCCCACCUUAUGAGGCAGAACCUUCAUCUUAUCAUAGAAGAUGAAAACACUAAGGACUCACUUUCCAGCCUCCCUUGCAACCAGGGUAUGGCUGUGACCCAGGUUUUGCCAACUGAACACACCUGUAAAAGCCUUAAAUUCCCUCUUUAUGUAGAUGCAAAAAUUCCAUGAUGUAUUCUAUUUCCUAUUAUCUAUACUUUCUGAUAUUUUAUAGUAGGAACCAGAAAAAAUGAGGAGAAACAAGGGAAGGAAGAAAGGGGAAAAAAAGAGUCAGUGGAACUUGACAGAGGUAGGAAAGCAGAAUUGGAAGUAGAGAGUGAACAGGAUGUGAAAUAACAGGAGUCAGCUGAGUGAGGUAAGGUAUGUCAAAGAAGUCCUUUUGGGGACAUAACUGUUGUAUUAGAUCUAAAGAAGAUUUGAUUGAUAUCAAAGAGUAGAAACGAUAUUCUGGGUAAAGGAGAAAGAAAAAAAAUAGUAGAAAUUGUGACGUGGUUCACCCUCUUGUUUUCUGCAGGAUCAUACUUAAUCUAUGCUAGCCAAAAUCAUUUCUUUUUUUCUUUUUUAAAAAAGGCAUCCAAAGGAGGAUAAUUAAGACUCCUCAAUUCUAAAAGUUUCAGGACCCACAGAUAUUUGGUUGUCAACAAGAUGAUUUAUGUUUUUCCUAAAGUUCUAAUAUCUAUUGAGAAGUUUUAUCCUCCUUACUCAAAUAUACACCUUUAAAAUUGUCUAUAGUGAUAUCUUCUGUUUAUUUAUGUCCAUUCUUCAAAUUAUACUUUAAUCUGGGUGGGGCAUUUCAUUAAGUGCUAUUUUAUAGCUUACUGUGAAAUGUCAAUCAUUUAUUCAUUAAGCAGUAUAGAUAUGUUGGUAUGAAUAUAUUAAUUCAUAAAAGAAUAACCUAAGUUUAUUGAUACAUUGUUGACAAAUGACUUUAGUACCAUACAUUCUCAGGUUUAGUAAUCACAUAAGUAGGGAUAGAAUAAGAAAAAUAUUGACAGGUCCUAUACACUCACGAAAAGCAAGGAGCUAAAAUACAAACCUGCUCCCAAUAUGAAAGAAAACCACAGUCCUCAAUUCCCCUUUUAACAGUGUUCAUGCUUUUAGAGUUGAGCCUAAUCAAGUUCUAAUGUCUUUUUAACCCACACCUCCCUUCACAUUCUCUCCAUAUGUAAGAUUGGGGUUUCACUGAGUCCAAAGGGACUUGAGAAGCUAGGGAAUGAAAGAACUGCAGUGGGUUAGUACAUUUUCCCUAAAGUUCCAACAUGUGGGUCACACUUUGAAAUUUCAACUGGAAUAAUGUUGAGGAAGAGUUGAUAAAUAAUACGUAUUGAACAAAUGUUACUUUGUUGAGGAACUAUUGUCAUUAUGAUGAUGUAACUUUUCCUCUCUGUAAGAGGAAAUAAAAAAGAACUGUUUAAUUUGUAUGGGGAGAGAUUUAGCUCUUAAUGGAGAAAAUCCUGACACUGAAACAAAGGAAUAAUAGAUAUAACAUUAGAGAUGAUUUGCUAGGCUUUGUCAGUGAAGGUUAUAGUAGGUUGGGAGUAAGGGGGAAAGACUGGAAAUUCUUGCUUGUAUCUACUUAUUAAUUCGGUUCUUUCCAAUCUCUUUGAUGUUAAUUGCAUUAAUCAGAAAAUUAAAUCACAUUGACUAUGGCUACCCAAAUAUAUUUUGGUGUGUAUACAUGUAAGUCAACACCAGUAGUUACAAGGAUGACUUGCAAUGAAGGAAAAAUUCACUCUAAGGAAAAAGAAAAUUAUUAAGAGGAACCAAAAAAUAGGCUUUCUCCACUUGCGAGACCGUAUCUGCCUAGAAAUUGAAAUGAAAUUGAUUAAAAUACUCAUUCACAGACACAUAGAAAUUAAAAAAAUUCUUUUAACAUGUCCUAUUAGACUAGAACAAAAUGUGCUUGUAGCUCUGUUGCUACCAUAUUCACUCACUACUAUUAAAUAUUUCAUUUGAUGAUAUCUUAAAAGAAACAAUUGUGUUACCUUAAAAAAAAAAUCUCUGAGGAGUUCUUGUCAUGGCGCAGUGGAAACGAAUCUGGCUAGGAACCAUGAGAUUGCAGGUUUGAUCCCUGGCCUUGCUCAGUGGGUUAAGGAUCUGGCAUUGCCAUGAGCUAUGGUAUAGCUUGCCGACUCGGCCAGAUCUGGUGUUGCUGUGGUCUAGGCUGGCAGCUGUGGCUCUAACUAGACCCCUAGCUUGGGAAUCUCCAUACACCCCGGGUGCAGCCCUGAAAAGCCAAAAAAAAAAAAAAAAAAAAAAAAUCACUGAGUCAGAAAUUGUGAUUAAGGGUAUGAUUCAGAUUGCCUUUGGAGACUAUUUGGGUCAUCUAAGUUUAUCUAUGAUGGGUAACAUUAAGUUCUAAGACAAAUGUGUUUAUACCUUCAAAAACAGAGGAAACAUUUUCAAAUCUCUAAUAUUUUAAUUUGGUAAAAAAAAAUCAUAUUUUAGACUGGUCUUAAGUUUAGCAAAUAAAUGUAAUUUGUUCAAAAUCUUGUUUCAUGGUUCAGUUCUGUUCAAGCCACUCAUAUGCAUGACCUAAAGCUGCAGUGAAAGAAUAACUCUUGCAGAAAAAAAGUCAGAAGGGGAAGAUUUAUCAUGAAUAAUUUAUAUUGAAACAAGAUUAUAAAACUGAUGUAUUAUCUUUAUACUAAUGCUGAGAAAAAUGUAUAAUCAAAGUAAUAAAAAAAACCCUGACCAGUUCAGAGUUAUUAAAACCUGGGAAUACUUAAUAGCAAAUUCCACAUAAACAAAAGGAGCUUCAGGAUCCUAUCCACUUCAGUUGAGCCAAUUUUAAGACUAAUUUGUUUCUGAAGCAAGGCAAAUUGUUUCGAGCAUAUCAGCACUGGAUGGUCACAAUGUGAUCACAAUGUUGUGUUGACUUCAUAGUCCAAUCCUCUUCUGCUCACUUGUCUCUUUUACUUCUUCUCUUCUAAUAUAGUCUUUGAAAGCUUUAUACAGAAAAAAAAUGAGGAGGGCAAUGCAGAGAAAAUGAUUUUCUGAAAUUUCCCUUCAAAAUGGACAUCCAAAAGGGAAGAGAGAAUAUAUGUGAAUACAAUCUAUUAUGAAGGAAGUCAUCACUGAUUAUGAUAAAUACUAUUUUUGAGGACAUGAAAUAAAAGAUGAUGUGAUUAGAUUUCUCUUCCAGUAAUGGCAGGUAUAUUGAAAGGAGCCUAGUAAAUAGACUAUAUAGCCUUAAAAUGUUUUAAAAAUAGUGUUAUAUGUGGUAUUUGUUUAUAUCAUUAUUUUUCUUUUGAAAAACAUUUUUACUAUAGCUCUUUUUAUAAAUCCUCACAACCACUCUGUGAGUCGGGUGGGCCCUUCCUUUCGGUCUCCUGAGGGUAGAUGGAGAAGUUGGGAUAGGCCCCUGCCAGGGCUGCCGCGGGACAGUGGGGUCCUUCGCAUAUCAGGGCACCAGCCCUCCCCGCUCCCAGCUCGGCUGAUACCGGCCUCUGGGAUCUCACAGUCAGCGAGGGGAGAGGCUGCGGAGAGCGACUGCUCCCCCCGCGGUCCCUCCUCCAACAGCUGAGUCCUGCCCACCCUCUUCAGGGGCGGGGGUGGGGUGGGGUGGCAGCAGUUCUGGGGAGUGUAAGGGUCCGCGAUGAGACGGUGGUCGUGGGCACUGGCUUUGUGGCGUCAGAGUGACUGGGUUUGAAUUUGAAUCUCCAGACCUUUUUUUACGGUGCCUGACUUAAGGCAGUCACUCAAUUUCCUCCUCUGGAGAGAGGACAUCCUUUGAUUUAUCCCAAGGGGUUCACUGACUUAAAAUAGUCAACGAUUUAAAGCAAUAAAGGUCUUAGUCUACUGCCCCUGCCGAAGAAAAUGCUACAAAUAUUAUCAGUUCUGGGAUAGGUAGGUCACUAUCUCUACUACUUUGGGGCAUUUCCAGCUGCAAAAUGGGCGCAAUGUAGAUUGCAGUCUUUUAAUGGCACACAUUACUUUGCCAACAAUCAAACAAACCAGAGAAAAACAAAACCCCUCACCAUCCCUGCUCUCCGUCCUGCUCUGGAGCCACUCAGUUUUGACACUUGUUUCCGGGAUCUGAAGGAGCUGGAUCCUAACCCAAGGAAAUAUUCUUUUUUACGUUUUUAUUUUUUAUUAAAGCCGCGUUGAUCUACAAUUGUGCCAAUAUCCCUGUACAGCAAAGCGACUCAGUCAUAUAUAAAUUCUUUUAAAAAUACUGUUUUCCAUCACGGUCUACCUCAGGAGAUUGUAUAUCAGUAAACACUGUUAUUAACUAGGAAAACAGAAAAGUGAGA